Molecule: long non-coding RNA, 1502 nt
Organism: Megalobrama amblycephala (Wuchang bream)
Lineage: Eukaryota; Metazoa; Chordata; Actinopteri; Cypriniformes; Xenocyprididae
Exons: 5
Source: RefSeq, a predicted model, not a curated record
CAGAAAACUAUGAUGAUGUCAUCAUUGUACGACAAUUCUCCAAUGAUAAAGCAGAUGGUGUUAAGGAGGAUUAUGAUGAUGUGAAGAAUGUCAAGGAGUAUAUGAGUGAUGUGAUUGGUACAUUACUGACACCUUUUUACCUUACACUGAAUUUUUGUUAAGUUUUUAUAAAUGCUUUAUACCAAUAACAUCAGUUUCUGUGAUCAUGAUAACUCAUUUAACUUGACUUCCAAUAUUGAUGUUCAUUUAGAAUACUUUUUAAAGCAUAUAUUGAUAAAUUAAUUUGCUCUUGUUUUCUAAUAACAGGCUAUGAUGAUGUGGGGGAGGAGCCAGAAAAACAGGGAGGGACUGUGUAAAAUCCUUUUAAAGCUUUUAAGUGAUCUGAAACAUUUCUAUGAUGUAGAUUUGGCAAUUUAAGGGGAAAAAAAUCCUAACAUUUAAUCAGUGAACCCAGAUAUUCAGUGGCCUGAGAUCUGCUCCUAAUUGGUUAGAUCAUCUUAAAUGUCAAAAACAUGAAAAAAACUUUGUGGCAGUGUCCAUCUUUAUCCUGGGGACAGAACAACCAUAAUGAUAAUGAGGAGGCCAAUAUCACUUGCUUUGACAAAAUGGAUAAAGAGGCUCCAGAGGAGUAUGAUGUCAUCACUGAUAUACACGAUUUAUCGCACAAAUGAGACCUAUGAUGACGCCACAACCAUGAGAGAAGAGAACUGGGAAGAGGAGCCAAAUGAACAGGGAGAGAGUGUGUGAACUGCCUACAAUUACAGCUAUUAAUAUAUAUAUAAAAAGAAAUACAGAUUAAUAUUGUCUAAACCUUUUCAUUCAACCAGGAGAAAUGCAGAGGAAUCUUUGUCUCCUUGUUCUGAUUUCAUGUCUCAUUACUUUAAUAGAGAAAGUUUAACAAAUAUUAUUUUAGUAAUUGUCGUAUUUCGAGCACCUUCCAUUGGCGAGGGGUUCGGUUCAUUCCCCCCAGAAGCCGCUUCCACUGGUGCUGAAUUGUACCGGUCGCUGUCCAUGGUGCUGGAGGAGUGUCCGCUCUGCAGUUGUCAUGGAAACAAGUGAUCAGACGAACCAAAAAAAAAAUGUAAUCAUAACGAUGGGCUAUUGCUUAAACCUUAAAGAAGUAUAUUAAAUAUUAUUUUAACGCAAAUAUGAAAAUAUGAAAUGUAAGAGCUUUAACUCUGUAUUAAGAUUCUACUGUGUAAUUAAUACCUCUGAUCAUGUUCUGUCAUUUGUAAUUAAUUUCAGUGAAGUAAAUGGUAAAGUGUGCUAAUUACAGUAUAUACACAUCAGCACAUGUGUCUUGAGGUCUAUGCAUAAUUUCCUAAGGAAAGUGCGACCCCCUUCAAUAAAAACCAAAAAAAUAAAUAAAUAAAAAUAAACAGAGUGCCCAUCAUCAUCAUCUUUUAUCUUCUGGAAAUAUAGUACAACGAUAUUGCAGUGCUUAAUGUAUUCCUCCAGUUGUAAUAUUUAAAAUGUAAUGAUAAUUGAUUAAAAAAACUUUU